GCCUUGUUAGCUCAGUCGGUAGAGCGCAAGACUUUUAAUUUUGUGGUCGGGGGUUCGAGCCCCCCAUAGGGCU
Molecule: transfer RNA, 73 nt
Filed under: Cavenderia fasciculata
Lineage: Eukaryota; Evosea; Eumycetozoa; Acytosteliales; Cavenderiaceae
Also listed under: 1 other name
Description: tRNA-Lys
Rfam family: tRNA
About the family: Transfer RNA (tRNA) molecules are approximately 80 nucleotides in length. Their secondary structure includes four short double-helical elements and three loops (D, anti-codon, and T loops).
Source: RNAcentral